Molecule: non-coding RNA, 138 nt
Organism: Mustela putorius furo (domestic ferret)
Lineage: Eukaryota; Metazoa; Chordata; Mammalia; Carnivora; Mustelidae
Source: Rfam
GAAUUUAUGCAGUGGUAGUAUCAUAGCCAAAGAGGUUUAUCUGAAGUGUGAUUAUUGCUAAUUGAAAGGAAUAUUAUACAUCAUUACCUUGUCUUAACCACUAAAAUCAAACUUCAUUUGUGCCUGUGUUUAUCCAUA